Molecule: long non-coding RNA, 932 nt
Organism: Bos taurus (domestic cattle)
Lineage: Eukaryota; Metazoa; Chordata; Mammalia; Artiodactyla; Bovidae
Source: Ensembl
GGAAUGGCCUCACAAAGGGGCAGGUAGCAAGUGACCCUGACAAGGGAACCAGGGCCCCUGCCGGUCCUGUCCCAGCCCUGCUGACAGUGGCUUCUUUACCCCCUGGGCAGCAGGGGCUGGUGGACUUUGGAGGAGGCGGCCGAGACGUGCCGGAGCAGCUGACUGUCAGCUCAGGUCCAGGAAGCCGUGAGCAAAGGAGAGCGACUGCGAAGGGCCUCCUCCACCUGCCAGAAGAGGGGAGGGAAGGUAACAGCCUUGGGCUCGAGCCCGGGGACCUCUGCCAGCGGCCACGUCCAGCCCACAGCCCCAGGGAGGGCCAGGAGGAACCACAGAGCCCGAUCUCCCCAGGCUGGGGGCCGAGCCCAGGCGAACCCGCCUCCCCAGGGGGCUUCAGAUGCAGAAAUCAGCUUUCUGUCCUAGAAUGGAGCCCAGCCGCCCGGGCCUGUCGUCACAGCGUCCGAAGUCUGUCCCAUCAGAGGCCAGCUGCCCGGAGGGUAACGCAGACCUGUAAUCCUAAGAUGACCCCUCCUCACUGGCUCUGAGGAAAUCACGCCCCACCGCCAGCCCCACCCUGUGGAAGUUUUGUCUCCAUGGUCAGACCUGCUUGUUUGCACCGCCUUCCUAUCUUCAUCAUUUCUACCUUCAAACGUCCUCUUCGCCUGCUCUCUCCUCAACCUGCCUGGCUCCUCCUGCAAGGGCCUCCCCAGACAGGGCUCCUGCAGGUCAUGAGAACCACAGAGAGACUGCACCUGCCAUUCUGGUCGGAGCCUGCUCAGGGGCUCAGACCAGGGCAGCCCUCCUGCACGCCUGAGCAGACCCAGCAGUGCUCUGCUUCCCCUUAGCAGGACAGGGUAGGUGACCCCCAAAAGACAGAAACCACUGUCCACUGCAACUGAGCAGGAAACCUCACAAAUCUGACAAGGAGAAAACAG